GACGAACGCUGGCGGCGUGCUUAACACAUGCAAGUCGAACGGAAAGGCCCUGCUUUUGUGGGGUGCUCGAGUGGCGAACGGGUGAGUAACACGUGAGUAACCUGCACUUGACUUUGGGAUAACAUCAGGAAACUGGGGCUAAUACCGGAUAGGAGCUCCUGCUGCAUGGUGGGGGUUGGAAAGUUUCGGCGGUUGGGGAUGGACUCGCGGCUUAUCAGCUUGUUUGUGAGGUAGUGGCUUACCAAGGCUUUGCAGGGUAGCCGGCCUGAGAGGGUGACCGGCGACAUGGGGACUGAGGUACGGCGCAGACUCCAACGGGAGGCAGCAGUGGGGAAUAUUACACAAUGGGCGGACGCCUGAUGCAGCAACGCCGCGUGCGGGAUGACGGCCUUCGGGUUGUAAACCGCUUUCGCCUGUGACGAAGCGUGAGUGACGGUAAUGGGUAAAGAAGCACCGGCUAACUACGUG
Molecule: ribosomal RNA, 468 nt
Filed under: uncultured bacterium
Lineage: Bacteria
Description: partial 16S ribosomal RNA
Rfam family: Bacterial small subunit ribosomal RNA
Source: RNAcentral